Olea europaea var. sylvestris is the source of this 966-nucleotide long non-coding RNA. RefSeq lists it as uncharacterized. The transcript is spliced from 2 exons. The record is from RefSeq and is a predicted model, not a curated record. NCBI's taxonomy places the organism in Eukaryota, Viridiplantae, Streptophyta, Magnoliopsida, Lamiales, Oleaceae.
ACCCUAAUUCUACGGAAGAUACAACGAAGCGGCCAUUACUAGUUAACUGCAGAAAAUGGUCGGUCCAUUUCUCCGAUCUCUCUGGUACACGUCUCUGAUAAACAGCCACCAGAAAAUCCCUCUCUUUUUACUCCUCUAAUUAUCUAAAGCCUCAUUUAUUCGGAUGCGCCUUCUCCACAGCGAGCGCCACUGCCGCCGUUUCAUCCGCGGCGACUCUGGACGGUGCUGUGGACCCUGGCCAGCUGAGGAACGUGGCUGUUAUAGCCCACGUCGACCAUGGAAGGACCGCCCUCAAAGAUAGGUUCCUCCGCCAGUGCGGUUCUGACAUCCCCCACAAAUAGACUUCAUCAGCCUCGAGCGCGAGCUUGGCAUCACCAUUGCUUCUUAGUCACCAUUAUGAGUGGAGGAUGAUGACAAAGAAUGAGGGGGAAAAUGACAAAGAUGAGGAGGACGAUAGGAGAAUGGAAAACACGCUGAUGAUUCUUUUAAAGAUCCUACCAGUAACAAUGACAUAGGAGAUUUCUGGUAGUAAUGAAAAAAGUCGGUCUUACUGCUGCAACCAUUUGGUUGGUAGUAGGUCGAUGAAAGUUUAUGAGAUGUAUUUUUUCCCGAGCAGCUAGAGGAUGUAGAUUUUUGGUCUCUUGUGACGGUGUAUUAUGGUUAAUGAAAAUAUAUUUAUAUUUCCUCUGUUGCUUAUGCUAAUUUACAUUUUAGAUGUCCGGAUGGACUAUACCACUGAUUUUUCACUUUUUAAUACCACCCUUUAAGAAGUGAAAAAUGAAAUUUGGAAAUUGUAUACACAAAUAGUUCUUGUUUUCUUGAUGCCAAUAGACUGGGUGUCUCUUCUUCUAAGUCUGCAUAUAAGGUCUCUUCUUCUAUGUCUGCACAUAAGGGCAAUGUAAGUUGUGGUGGAAUAAUAUUCGUGACUUUUGGAUUUGUACAUUCUUAUGAAGUUGACUUACAUCA